GGGGAGGCCAUUAGCUCUCUCUGCAGCUCUGGAGAGAGGAAGCACUUCCUUCCCCACCCCUCCGCACCCCUACACAUCACAGCUGAAUCCUGGAUGGCCUUCCACCCAAAUAAGGCACAUGCCCGACACGGCACCCAGGAGGAGGUCAGAAGAGAACUUACAGAGCCUGUUCUUCCUUCCACCGCUCAGGUCGCCAGGCUCAGCAGCAAGUGUCUACCCACUGAGCCAUUCCACCAAGCUUCCGCCUUACUUUUUGAGCCAGGCUGCUGGCUUUUUAUGUGAGUGCUGGGGACUUGCACUCAGGUCCUCAUCACUUUGCCCACUGAGACACCUCCCCGGCCCCCAGAAGACUAUCAAUAAUGAGGUUUUUUUUCUCUUGACGCAAAGUCCAUGGGAAAGCAAAGUUGUUGUGGAGAAUAUGGGGGAGGGGGGUAGUAAAGCAGACCCUGAAGCCAAAAGGCCAUGGGUCCCAGCUGACAUCCUCAGGCUGAGCUCUGACGGCCCCCUCCCGCUGGCAUGGCAGCUGAAGAAACGAGAAUUCUGACUUCAGAAGAGCGUCCCUGAGAACUCAAGUCCUGGGAGCCACACCUCCUGGCUCGUCGAUCCCCCUCUGCUUCCCUUCCCUACCUCCUCUCAGCUCUCAGGCCGGAGGACAGGGCUGCGCUCCAACAAAUGCUCCUUCCUGCCCUCCGGAGACGAACUGGGGCUUUCCUUCUUUGUCUGCCAGAUGUGGGUGUCUCUCCUGAGGCUGCUGCCAGCAGCAGUGCCUCCUGGCAUGAACGACUAGGCACUGUCUCCUUCCUGCUGCCAGGGUGGAGACCUGAGUCAGACCAUCCGGAUUCCAAGCUCAUCGUCACCCAUUUCAGCUGUGUGGCUCUGGGGAAAUCGCCUAACCUUUCUGUGCCUCACUUUCUAUGAGGAGUAACAGCUUUCCCAAGUAGAUAAAGCUGCCACACCACUUAGUGCUCAGUAAUGCUCCCUGCUGGACCACCCUCUCCAGCAUGGAGGUGAUCCCCAGGAUUGAACCCAGGACCUCAUGCAUGUUGAGCAAGUGCUCUCCCAUUGGGCUACCCCCCAGAAAACUACCACCGGAACUUCUGUCUGUUGUUUCUGGGUUUUGAGACCGGAUCUCUUGCGGACAUCCCAGGCUGGCUACACAACUCGCUGUGGAGCUGAAGAUGGCAUUCAACUUCUGAUCCUCCUGCCUCCACAUCCCACGUGACGUCGGACGCACCACCCCUCUUAAGAGGUGCUGGGGAUCGAGUCCAGGGCCUUGUGUAGGCUAGGCCAGCACACUACUGGCUGAGCUACACCCCCAGCUUCAGAUGAAGAGCCUGAGCCUGGAGUCUGUGACGUGACCUACGGUGACACAGGCUGAAGUGUGUCAGCCCCAUGUUGUCCAGCUGUGAAGCCCGCUGAGGCAGCACACAUGGCUGGAGGCUCUGUGCCAGCCUGCUUCGAGAGGCCUGGGAGGUGUGAUAAGCAGUGGCUGCCGGUGGCCUCAUCAGUCACCUGGGCCACUUGCCCUACUAAUCUUUCUAGAAGCCUUUCCCUCACCUAGGAGCCUGUCUGUCCUUCCCACUCUCAAAUGACCAUUGCCAUCAGUUGGUGUGAGACCUUCCCUCCAGGUCUCUAUCCAUCAGUGAGGAGACAUGGACCUUCUCAGGCACGAUGGCUAGCAACUGACGUGUUUGGCCUUACAGAAAUCCUGUCCACCCUGGAGGCACACUGUGGCUCAGACAUGGUCCUCUUCCCAAUAGUCUACAAGCACCCUGAGGCUCCUAGCUGAAACAGUCCAGGACUGUGGCUUAGGGGCUCAGAUAGACUCCAGGGAGCAUCCAGUCACCCCUGCCCUUCCUGUGGGCCACCCAAAACCUGAAGGAGUCAACCUCUGAGCUAGGCCUUCCAGCCUGUUCCUGGCCGCCUCUCUGCUAUACAGGAUGUGAACUAUGAUGGCCACCAGAUGUGCAAGGGACAUAGAUGUCAGUAGGCUAUGCCAUGGAAGCUCCCUGAAUCCCACAGCUGCCCCCCAGCUUUCACCUGAGGACAGGGGAUCCUGUUUCAGAGGAUGGACAAUGAAUACCAGAGGGUGUCUGGGCACACAGUGUACCCCAACUCCUAAAGAGGGCACAGGACCACAGAAAAUCAGGGGUGGCCUCUGGGGAUGGGUGAUCUGGGUUGGAAAAGUGUUCAGGCACGGUCCUCUUCUGUUUUCCUGGCAGAGUGACCCUGGCUGGCCUAGAACCUGCUAUGUGGACCAAACUGGCCUUAUACUCGCAAUGCUCCUGUCUCUGUAUCUCAGUCCUGGGAUUCCAAGAGUUCGACACCAUGCCCAGCGAACAGGCAAGAUUUUUGUUGUUAAGCUCUCUGCCUCAAAUGCCUCGUUUAUAGAGAAGUGAGUCAGUUGCUCUCCAGAGUGCAUGUGCUUACAUCAGAAGGCACUGGAUGGUGCGUGUCUGUUCUAUAGACGUCUAAAGCAGGAGGAUCAGGAGGUCCAGGUCACCCUUAAGUUGGAAGCCAGCCUGGGCUAUAAGAGAAUCUGUCACAAAAAAAAAAAAAAGGAGGAGGAGGAAGGAAGGUCAGAAAGGCAGGGCCAAUUGCUGGGGACAAGCAGUAAACAAGACUGACACAGGAGCUGUCCCUAAAGCAAAGAGCAGAGUUAGCAAGUGUCACCUACGGAAACAUACAGCUCGGGGAAACUGAGGCCCGAGGAAGGGUAAAUAGCUAGUCAAGCCUUACAGCUGGGAACCAGCAAGUACCUCUGAGGAUCAUUUUCUCUGUGCUGAGCACACUCCAUUUUGGGUAUCUCUGUGUGUGUGUGUGUGUGUAUAUGUGUGUGUGUGUGUGCGCGCGCGUGCGUGCGUGCGUGCGUGCGUGCGUGCGUGCGCAUGUGAUUAUCUCCAAUUCCUGAGUGAGGAAGGUGCAGAGAAAGGUGAGGUGACUUUCUUGAAAUCCCAGCCAAGACCACACCAUGGCAACCAGGCUGGACAAACAGCAGAGUGAAAUUGAAGCUUCGCUGUCAUUGGCUGAGGACCAUGCAAUCCACGGCAUCUCUGAGAGUUGGGUUGCUCUCUGUUUCCUGGAACCUGACCUUCCCCAACCCAUGACCUUGACUUGUUUUUGAGAAUACUCUGACCCUCCCUGGCCCUCCCUAAUCACAUGGUGGAUGACCAUGUGAUUUUUUUAAAAGAAUUUUUGUGUUUCCUUAUUGCCUCAUUGUCUCCCUUCUGUAAAACUACUCGUGAUUUUACUCCUUAGAAGGGGCCCAAGAGAUGGAUUUGGGGCUGCUCUCUUUAACCCAAUUUAGGAGGCAGUCCCUGGCCAGCUCUUGGCUGCACCCCAAUAAAAACCAA
Molecule: long non-coding RNA, 3353 nt
Organism: Peromyscus californicus insignis
Lineage: Eukaryota; Metazoa; Chordata; Mammalia; Rodentia; Cricetidae
Exons: 3
Source: RefSeq, a predicted model, not a curated record